CUUCUGUUAUUACUUGUUUGUGAAUGAAACUGUAUUUCUUUCUUAAACUAGAGUGAAGAGGAGGAGCCUUUGGGAUGGCCUGCCAGUCAGAAGGACACACCGGGUGACCCAGAGAGAGGUGAGGAGGAGACACUUGCUGAUGUAGCUGGAUGGGUGGUGCAGAAAGUGGCUCAAGAUCCAGAAGUCAGUGCUUGUACCGAAUGUGAAAGUUUGCUUGUGGAGACCAACGACACUGAGCACAACUAUCACACACGGAUGGAGAAGGACGCCGUCUCAGCUGUGAAGAAAAGCCCAACGUCUGCCAGGCUGCUUCAUCCAUCCGAAGCUUUCAAAGAAUGCAUCUCCAAAUGUGACAGCGUCAUCCAAAAAAUCCCCCCGAAUGCGAUGGCCCCGAAGAAAUUAAAGGCCUACCUCAGAGCCAGCGGUGCUUUCAGUGAGCUCCACCGCAUCCAUCCUGCCCACUCAAAGGCCAUCGAGAGGGUCGCCGUGAAUAAAUAUGUGAUGUGGAGGGUGGUGGCCGAGCUGAAGGAAACGGCACAAAACAGAAAACGCACACAUGAGAAAAGAAGUGCUGCGUGUCAAGAGCUAAAUGUUUAGUCCUGAUUGAAGUAAAUCAGGACUAAAUAAAUAUAAAAUGAUGUUAAUUUGAUAAUAAAUUAUUUUAGGCCAUUCUAA
Neolamprologus brichardi is the source of this 675-nucleotide non-coding RNA. Lineage: Eukaryota; Metazoa; Chordata; Actinopteri; Cichliformes; Cichlidae. The record is from RefSeq and is a predicted model, not a curated record.